Molecule: long non-coding RNA, 545 nt
Filed under: Homo sapiens (human)
Lineage: Eukaryota; Metazoa; Chordata; Mammalia; Primates; Hominidae
Description: non-protein coding lnc-SOX1-8:1
Source: RNAcentral
CGGGACUGGAGGUUACAGCUGCCUGGGAGGCAGCCUGCAGGCACAGCCAAUUCGUUGUUUGCAGUAUAGUUAUGGUCUAUAAGGACCCCGCAGACACUGCAUUAGCAGAUCCCAAGACAUUUCUCCAGGGGAAAUGCGGGGUUAGGUUCCUGUGGGCCUCUGGUGAGCCAAUCAAUAUAUAACCUGACUUGCAUGUGUCUGCUUAAAGACACCUUAUUCAACGUACUGUUGAUUCAUUAACACUGAACCUGCACCCAGCAGCUGAAUGAAGCUCCCCUAAGGCCCCCCAGCCUCUCCUGCUCAGGACACAAGACAGCACCAGGCACAGGGCCAUUCCAAACAGCAAAGUCACCGGCGAAGAGCACCAAGUGUGGAAAGCUGGGCACUACGGAGGCCUCGGCCCUGUUUACAAACCUCAGGCUCACCUAAGAGAGAGGACUUGCUGACUGCAGUGUCCAGGGCGCUUCCAGGCCUAGGCAGGCUCUUACUGAAGACGAAGUAUCUGAUGUUUCUGAAGCCUGAAUUCAAGGACAAAGCAAAUUGCU